CAAGGAGGUACAACUCAGACUUCCUGUGAGGGGAGUGGGGGCUCAGCCGUGGGUGAGUUAUCAUCUAAUCACACGUGUUGAGAAGCUGAGGUGCUGACGACUGUGAAGCCUCUCCUUCAAGACGGGGUUUCUUUUAGGGCAGCAUUAUUACUAAUACCUUCACUCUACAGCUUUUUGCAGUCCUGGGCGCCACGGUGAGCAAACACAUUUCCUGGGCAGCGUGGAAGGCACAUAGCAGAUAGCUAGCAGUUGUGUGCAAAAUGGACUGUGAAAUACACCAUCUUGGAACAGGCACAUAACUGGUCUAAGCAGUCUCCACAGACUGAAGCUGCUAGUCACUGAACCAGGACUUAAGGGCCCGCCUCUGUGCUCAAACAUCCCCCACAAUUACAGAUUAAAAACAACCCUUCCUUCAUGGCUGCAAGUGCAGGGAAACACAGAGUUGCCUGAAGAUCUGAAUGCGGCAUGAAACGUUCUCAGAGUUCAAGGUCUUGGAACAGAUCGUUCAUGAAGCCAGUCUUAUGAUUCACAGUCCUGGGUUCACUCUGUGGUCAAACCAGAAAAAAAUUAGAAGGAAGCCAGGUAUCUGGAAUGAAUUAACUCCCCCUCCCUUCCUCCCGCUUGCCCUCCUUCCCUCUUCUCCUUUCCCUUUCUCUUCCUUUUUCUCUCUCUCCCUCUCUCCUCUUUCUCUUUCUAAUUAUGAGGAGUACUGGAAAUUCAAACAGCUGGACCUUACAAUCAAACCUCUGUAUCUGAAUUUUCCACACCAAUGGUUCCAACGAUAAGGAACAAAAAUCUUUGGGAAGAGCAUCAGGACUGAAGAUGGAAGAAUCUCUACUUGUCCUCAUCCCCGAGGCAUGGCAUUCCCAGGGUUUCUGUUGCUGCGAACAGACAUCAUGACCACAGAAGCACUUAGAAAGGAAACGUUUCAUUUGGGUGGCUUACAGCUCAGAGGUUCAGUCCAUUAUCAUCAUGGUGGGACAUGGCAGCAUGCAGGCAUCAUGGAGGCAGACACGGUGCUGGAGAAGGAACUGAGAGUCCUACAUCUUGAUCCACAGAUGCUGUGUUUACAGGCAUGUGCAGCCAUGAUCAGCUUUUUACGUGGGUGUUGGGGAGUCAAACUGGAGUCCUCAUGUUUGUAGAGCAAAUAAUUAUUUGCUGAAAACCGUGUACAAGUUUCCAGCUUUUUAAAGAUUUCAGUUCAGUAGUGGUAUGGGUUUUACCCCUUUACUUAGCCUUCAUUCUUUUGCUUUUCAAAGUUUUACUGAGGCAUUUUUGACAAGCAAUAAACUGAGCAUACUCAAAGUCUGCAGUCAGCCCUCCGUGUCUGUAGGCUUUGUAAAUUCAAACCACUAUGAAUUGGAAAUAUUUUUUAAUUGCGCCUAUGCUGAAUUCGUACCGACCCUGUCCCCUUGUGAUCGUUCCC
This 1426-nucleotide long non-coding RNA is filed under the name Cricetulus griseus (Chinese hamster). Its description in RNAcentral is "lncRNA (ENSCGRG00015040493.1)". The record is from RNAcentral. Lineage: Eukaryota; Metazoa; Chordata; Mammalia; Rodentia; Cricetidae.